GAUGAACGCUAGCUACAGGCUUAACACAUGCAAGUCGAGGGGCAGCAGGGAUUUAGCUUGCUAAAUUCGCUGGCGACCGGCGCACGGGUGCGUAACGCGUAUCCAACCUUCCCGUUACUCCGGGAUAGCCUUCCGAAAGGGAGAUUAAUACCGGAUGGUGUUCAAAUGUCGCAUGUUAUUUGAACUAAAGAUUUAUCGGUAACGGAUGGGGAUGCGUGACAUUAGAUAGUAGGCGGGGUAACGGCCCACCUAGUCUACGAUGUCUAGGGGUUCUGAGAGGAAGGUCCCCCACACUGGAACUGAGACACGGUCCAGACUCCUACGGGAGGCAGCAGUGAGGAAUAUUGGUCAAUGGUCUGACGACUGAACCAGCCAUGCCGCGUGAAGGUGACGGCCCUAUGGGUCUUAAACUUCUUUUGUAAGGGAGCAAUAAGUCUCACGUGUGGGAUGAUGAGAGUACCUUACGAAUAAGCAUCGGCUAACUCCGUG
This 489-nucleotide ribosomal RNA is filed under the name uncultured bacterium. Its description in RNAcentral is "bacterial SSU rRNA". It matches the Rfam family "Bacterial small subunit ribosomal RNA", at positions 28 to 507 of the family's 1533-position model. The record is from RNAcentral.